RNAcentral lists this transfer RNA (69 nucleotides) under Apodemus latronum (Sichuan field mouse). Its description in RNAcentral is "tRNA-Glu". Lineage: Eukaryota; Metazoa; Chordata; Mammalia; Rodentia; Muridae. The record is from RNAcentral.
GUUUCUGUAGUUGAAUUACAACGAUGAUUUUUCAUGUCAUUAGUCGCAGUUAUAUGCUGUGUAGAAAUA